RNAcentral lists this ribosomal RNA (433 nucleotides) under uncultured bacterium. Its description in RNAcentral is "partial 16S ribosomal RNA". It matches the Rfam family "Bacterial small subunit ribosomal RNA", at positions 29 to 507 of the family's 1533-position model. The record is from RNAcentral.
AACGAACGCUGGCGGCAUGCCUAACACAUGCAAGUCGAACGAGACCUUCGGGUCUAGUGGCGCACGGGUGCGUAACGCGUGGGAACCUGCCCUUAGGUUCGGAAUAACUCCCCGAAAGGGGUGCUAAUACCGGAUAAUGUCUUCGGACCAAAGAUUUAUCGCCUUUGGAUGGGCCCGCGUUGGAUUAGCUAGUUGGUAGGGUAAAAGCCUACCAAGGCGACGAUCCAUAGCUGGUCUGAGAGGAUGAUCAGCCACACUGGGACUGAGACACGGCCCAGACUCGUACGGGAGGGAGCAGUGGGGAAUAUUGGACAAUGGGCGAAAGCCUGAGCCAGCAAUGCCGCGUGAGUGAUGAAGGCCUUAGGGUUGGAAAGCUCUUUUACCCGGGAGGAUAAUGACAGUACCGGGAGAAUAAGCGCCGGCUAACUCCGUG